RNAcentral lists this long non-coding RNA (235 nucleotides) under Capsicum annuum. RNAcentral's name for it is "long non-coding RNA (CANN_LNC007264)". Lineage: Eukaryota; Viridiplantae; Streptophyta; Magnoliopsida; Solanales; Solanaceae. The record is from RNAcentral.
UAUGCUAUGAUUAUUGUUCCUAAUCCUAAUGUCAUAACAAGAUUCACGAUAUUCAUAUAUAUAUUCAUAUCACACAGUUUAUAAUUUCUUUUGGAAGGGUAUCAAUUUUUAAAAACACGUAAAAACAAAUAGAAUAUGUCAACUCCACUUAGGUUCAUAAUUUUUUUUCUUAAUUAAACACAAGAAGAACAUAACACAUAUACGACAGAAAUACAAAGCAACCUAAACAUGCCAG